CACCACAAGUGGAACCAGAUCUGGUACAGCAGAGCUAAUCUUCCAAAAGAUUGAUGCCACCUUACAAAACCACAAGAUUCCAUGGUGCAACUGUAUUGGUCUCUCUGUAGACAAUGCAGCCGUGAACAUCGGACAACACAAUUCAAUCGCAUCAAGAGUUCUGCAAAACAACCACAGUGUUUAUGUACAUGGUUGCCCGUGUCAUAUUUUACACAACACUGCAAAGCGAGCAGGUCUUACCUUUACUGAGGUGUCACAUUUUGAUCUGGAGGACGUUGUGGUUGAUGUGGGCUUUUGGUUUAAAGGAAGCACCAACCGCAAGGGAUUUCUGGCAGAGUUUUGUGAGCUCUUUGAGUCAGAAUACCUGGAAGUCCUACAGCAUGCCUCUGUGCGGUGGUUGAGCCUUGAAACCUGUGUGACCCGC
Long non-coding RNA from Trematomus bernacchii (emerald rockcod), 424 nucleotides. RefSeq lists it as uncharacterized. The transcript is spliced from 3 exons. The record is from RefSeq and is a predicted model, not a curated record. Lineage: Eukaryota; Metazoa; Chordata; Actinopteri; Perciformes; Nototheniidae.